CAGCAGUUGUGGGGUCUUGGUUUUGAAGUUUGCAGAAACAUAUGUUCAAAUGGGAGGGCUGCAGGCAGUGCAAACAGGACCCAAAGACAUAUCCCAAGCCAGACUGCACAUCGCUACCACACUGUAUCAACAUCGAGACAAGGUGGAAGAGUACUGUGUGGAAUGCAAUAUGCUUCACUGUA
Molecule: long non-coding RNA, 182 nt
Organism: Gambusia affinis (western mosquitofish)
Lineage: Eukaryota; Metazoa; Chordata; Actinopteri; Cyprinodontiformes; Poeciliidae
Exons: 3
Source: RefSeq, a predicted model, not a curated record